Molecule: long non-coding RNA, 216 nt
Filed under: Ananas comosus (pineapple)
Lineage: Eukaryota; Viridiplantae; Streptophyta; Magnoliopsida; Poales; Bromeliaceae
Description: long non-coding RNA (ACOM_LNC011426)
Source: RNAcentral
UUUUUUUAAGAAGAAGAGAGAAUUGUAGUAUGCUAUCAUUUUUUUCGUAUUUAAUUAAAACUAUAAAAUAAUUAGGCUUCAAACUUAUGAUCUUAUAUAUCAAUUAUCUAACUUUUUGCCACUUCAGUUAAGAAUGAUAAGUUAUAUAUCAAAGCAUUAUACUAGUGAGCACAUGAGAUCUACAUAAGCUGAGAGGGAGAGAGAGAGUUUAUGUAU